RNAcentral lists this non-coding RNA (231 nucleotides) under Desulforamulus reducens. Its description in RNAcentral is "Desulfotomaculum reducens T-box sequence". It matches the Rfam family "T-box leader". From Rfam's summary of the family: Uncharged tRNA acts as the effector for transcription antitermination of genes in the T-box leader family. T-boxes are found upstream of many aminoacyl-tRNA synthetase genes and some amino acid biosynthetic genes usually in Gram-positive bacteria. The record is from RNAcentral. Lineage: Bacteria; Bacillati; Bacillota; Clostridia; Eubacteriales; Peptococcaceae.
UGAGUACCCUUGAACGGGAUAGUAAAUUGAUGGAAGCUGUACAGAGAGUCCGGUGCCUGGUGGAAUCCGGAUCAGUGCCAUCCUUUGAAGAUCACCCGGGAGGUGCCUUUUGAAACCUGUAAAACAGGGAGUAGUUUUGGCCGGCUACACUCCGUUAUCAGUGUAUCGAGUGUUCGGGAAAUAAUCCUGUUCAUUAGGGUGGUACCGCGGGUAAAACAGCUCGUCCCUUUG